This 7216-nucleotide long non-coding RNA is filed under the name Brassica napus (rape). RNAcentral describes it as "long non-coding RNA (BNAP_LNC021687)". The record is from RNAcentral. Lineage: Eukaryota; Viridiplantae; Streptophyta; Magnoliopsida; Brassicales; Brassicaceae.
CAAAACUGGGUUUAACCCUAUAUCUUCUUUCUCUCUCAAUUUCUCUUCUCAUCUCAUACUCUUCCUCAGGGAGCUUAUCAAGCCUGUUGCUGCGAUAGUUGAGGAAUCAAAGAGGAAGAGAUUUGCUGCAACUGAUGAGUCUGACCGAGUUGCUGAAUCUGUGAUUGGUGAUCCAACGGAUGAAGAGAGAGAGAGAGAGAGAGAGAGAGAGAGAGAGAGAGAGGAGAAGGAGACGGGAUUGGAGCUCCAAUGGCUGUGAUGUUGGGUUGCGAUUUGCGAAUUACCACUACUGUUCUGAAUUACACCUUCUGCCGUCGCUACCACCGUAGACGCUGCCAAAAUUGAAAUCGGAGCUGUGGUGUGUUGCUGUUGCGGUGACGACGGUGGAGUUGCAAGGGAAGGUUCCACUGGUUUAGGAGAUUGGAGAGGUUUCGGUGACAAAAGACGAUGAAGGGAUAGUGAUAACUGAUAAGCUUUGCUUUUUCUGUCAAUUUCUCCAUUUUUGUCACUAAACCGAGCUUAUCAGAUAGCUUCCGACAACGUGUGUUUGUUUGGUUCGUCGAUUUCCGCUCAUGAAUCGAAAAUUUCCCAGACUGUGAUUGGCUGUCCUGUUUUGUUACCUUGUCUUUUUCAGAAAUAAAUUUUACUGUGGAAUUUCUACUUUUUGUGAACAAAACUGUACAUAUGUAUGCUGCUUGUAACUGAAGAAAGAGGGUUUCAAGUCUUUUUUCAUUACUGCUUUAAGUUUGUAAUUGUCUUCCAAAUCAAAUGUCACAGGGAGGCGCGGGAAGGUUUUGAAGUUACCAAGUAGGCAAGGUCUGAGUGUUGCUCCGUCACCUGAAAUGACCAACGAUCAAAAGUGAUAGAGACACCAUUAUCAGCACAAUUUUGGUGAACAGACAUUAAUUAGGUUCUUGUCAAUAUUUGGAACAUAGAGCACAUUGUUUAGUUUAUCUGAACGAGAAGGGAUUGUAGAACCAGUGUGUGUUAUGGCAUGACCAGAGCCAUCACCGAGAACAACUGUUUCAUUCCCUUGAUAUGGAGAUUGUAGAUGGUGUUUCAUUAGCUGUGUAAUGCGGAGCUAAUAGGGCAGUGUGAUGAGCUUUAGGUUGCCAUGACAUCUGUUGCUGAGAGUAGAAGUCAUCUGAACUCUCUCGUCCGAAGCUCGGUGGCAGAGAGAGACCUUACCCUAGACGGUGUCGCACUGGUCGCCAGCCAACUGAUACCGGUCCAAUUCAUAACAACAUUCUUAAAAACAAUAUCUCUAAUAGUAUAUGUUUUGGGUGUUAUGAAAUCAAGCGGAUCCUGAACUUUUGAGACGAUAAAACAAGUCAGUAACGAUUUUUUUUUUUUUUUUUUAAAUUAAAAAAAAUAGAGAGAUUCUUUUUUAUAAAUUGACUCCAAAUUUUUUGAAGUUCUAGAACCAAUGUUUCAUUUGGUCAUGUCCAUGAUUGGUUUUGUGAAAAAAUGUAUCUGAUGUUUUAUCUGCAUUGUUGGCAGAUAAUGAAGCGGAGAGCCGAGUGGAAAAGCCAUUACCUAUGUACGUGCCACGAGACAAGCAAUCUGAGAGUAAACAGGACACUUUCGCUGCAGGGAGGUUAAAAGCGGUGUUACACCACCUUGUUCCGUCGCUUAAAGCUAGUAUCUUAGCUGAGUACUUUUCUGACUUUGGAGAGAUUGAUGAUCUCUAUUGAUCUGCUUUAGUCUUAACAGACUGUAUGUACUCAUCGAUUGAUAGUUGUCCUUUGCUUGAUUUCUUUAGCUGAUCUCUUAUUUGUUUGACAUGACCACGAGAGGGUCUGCCAUAAGUAGAUCGUGAAGUGUUCCAUGCCCUCCACAGAUGUUGAUGCCGUGGAGAUCAUAGGCUGUAGCGACAGGGAUAUGAGCUUGUCUUGUCUUCACCAUGCCGUGUGUGAGGUUGUUGACUUGCAUAGUUGGUAGAGGAGGGAUCAUCACAGCAUAUUUGGAUGUCAUGCUGCACACAUUUAGUAAUUUUCACUUCACUAAUAUGCUAGAGUGGAGGCCACAGAACAGAUUCUGACUAGGGAACUUGAGGCAGUGGGCUUGCGGCUAAAGAAAAAGCCUCCACAGGUUGAGUAAAUUUGUUGAAUUACAGAUGUACCACCCUAUCUAGUACUUCCAAGUCUAAAUUGAUCUUUCUGGUUUGUUUCCAUGUGGCUCUGUAUCGUUUCACAAAUCAAAGAAACAGAUAAUAAUUCUUUUAACUAAUCGACAUGCAAAAUAAGAGAAAAACGACAUUCUUUUUCUUCUUAAAUCUUUUCACAACAUUACUCUUCAUCCUAAAUCUCUUCUCAGUAUCGUGGUAUAGCAAAAAAGAAACAAGAUAAUCACAACAAAGUCUGAUGAAAACUCCAAAGACCUCCAUUCUAUGCUUCGUCUUUUGUUCCUUCAACCCCUCAAUUCAGAACCUGCUAAAAAUCAGAGACACCAAACGUUGAGACUUCAACAUGCAAAAUCAAGAAACGCACCAAGAACCGAAUUUGCGAGGUUUUACGAUGGUUUCGCCAAGGGUCGGCUGCCGUGGUGGCACAUGAGAAUCAAUCUUGGUCUGUACACGAUGAAUACGUAACAAGUUGGAGAAUCGCCAAGACGUGGUGGUAGGUGGUAUCGUCUCCUUCGUCUCUUUCUCUUCUUCUUCUCUUCUCUUCCUUUCUCUUUCCUUCUCUUCUAUUUCUUUCUGCUUUCUGAUGCUUCCCAAAAAAUCAGAAGCUACUUCCAUGGUAGUCUUUAUCCAUGCAGCGACCUUUGACAUUGUGAAUUUGAAUGCAGAGAAACUUAGGAGACAAGAAACAAUACAAUACCGUUUAACUCAAAAAAAAAACCUAUACAAUUCGUUUCAAAAAUACGCAUUACGUUGAGAACAAAUGGGCCUUUUAUUAAUGGGCCCAUAAUCUUUUUUUUUACGCCGCUUUAUUGCUAGGAGGGCUAGGCGUUCGGGUCUUUGGCUCGAGUUCGGGCCGGUUCCUUUCAGAUCUGGAUCUUUCGGGUCCUAAAUAUUUAGAGCCAAUAGGUAUUUAAAAAUUUCUGGUUCGGGUUCGUGUCAGUUCUUUUCAGGUCCGGGUCGGUUCGGAUCUAUAACUAAAAUAUUCAUAAAAUACUCGUAAUUUUCGGCUCCAUAUCGGGUCCCGAUCUGUUUGGAUAUUUAGGAUCUGAAAAGUACAUGACAUACCCAACUCCAUCAAAUUUAGUUGAUAUUUGUCAUAUAUAUCAAUUUUUUUAUAAAAUAACUUAAAUGAAACUAUUAAUAAUUAAAAUAAACAUUUUUAAACUCUAAAUUUUAUAUUUUAAUGCUUCGUAUUACUUAAAAAAUUUUACAAAAUAAUAACAAAUGUUGUUAACAAAAGAUGUUUCAACUAAAUCAUAAAAUAAUAUAUAUAAAAUAGAACUCAAAAACAUCGUAGUUUUAGAUAUACAUGUUUUUAAGUCGGGUACAAAUCGGUUCUUAUCGGACCGGGUCUAUACGGAUCGGUUUUUUCGGAUCCGGAUCUAUUCGGAUCGGUUCUUUUCGUUUUGGUUCUUUCGGGUAAAAAAAAUCUAGACCAAAAAAAUACUUGUAAAUUUUCGGUCUGAUUCUGGAUCAGGUAUUUUUUGGCCGGUUUCCGGUUCGGAUUAAAAUGUCCAUACCUAAUUGCUACUUUUAUCAGCGUCUUCUCUCUCACACAAUAUCACUGUAAGUAGCCGUUCAAAUCUUCAAAUUUAGCUACAGUAGAAUUCACAUUUAUUUUUAUUUUUUGAAUCCCCCGGUAUAUUUAAGAUCUGGAAAAGCACAUAAUAUACAUAAUUCCAUCAAAUUUAGUUGAUAUUUGUCAUAUAUAUCUAAAAUUUUACAAAAUAACUUAAAUUAAACUAUUAAUAAUUAAAAUAAAACAUUUUUCAACUCUAAAUUCUACAUUUUAAAGCUUCAUAUUACUAAAAAAUAUUACAAAAUAGUAACAAAUAUUGUUAACAAAAUAUAUUUCAGCUAAAUCAUAAAAAAAAACAUAAAAUAGAACAAAAAAACAUCAUAGUUUUAGAUAUACAUGUUUUUAAUUUGGGUACAAAUUGGUUCUUAUCAGGUCCGGUCUAUUCAGGUCGAUUCUUUUUGGUUUCUGCUCGGGUUCAUGUAUUUAGGAUCUGAAAAGGACAUAACAUACACUAAUUCAAUCAAAUUUAGUUGAUAUUUGCUAUAUAUAUCUAAAAUUUUACAAAAUAACUUAAAUGAAACUAUUAAUAAGUAAAAUAAAAUAUUUCUAAACUCUAAAUUUUACAUUUUAAAGCUUCACAUUACUUAAACAAAUAUUACAAAAUAAUAACAAAUAUUGUUAAUAGAAGAUAUUUCAACUAAAUCAUAAAAUAAUAUAGAUAAAAGAGAACACAAAAACAUCAUAGUUUUAGAUAUACAUAUUUUUAAUUCGGGUACAAAUUGGUUCUUAUCAGGUCCGGUCUAUUCAGGUCGAUUCUUUUUGGGUUCGGGUCGGGUUCAUGUAUUUAGGAUUUGAAAAGGACAUAACAUACACUAAUUCAAUCAAAUUUAGUUGAUAUUUACCAUAUAUAUCUAAAAUUUUACAAAAUAACAUAAAUGAAACUAUUAUUAAUUAAAAUAAAAUAUUUUUAAACUCUAAAUUUUACAUUUUAAAAUUUCUUAUCACUUAAAAAUAUUACAAAAUAAUAACAAAUAUUGUUAACAAAAGAUAUUUCAACUAAAUCAUAAAAUAAUAUAUAUAAUAGAACACAAAACAUCAUAUUUUUAGAUAUACAUGUUUUUAAUUCGCGUACAAAUCGGUUUUUGUCGGGUUUAUCCAGUUUGGUUCUUUUUGGGUUCGGGUCGGGUUUUAGGAUCUGAAAAGGGCAUAACAUACCUAAUUCCAUAAAAUUUAGUUGAUAUUUGUCAUGUAUAUCUAAAAUUUUACAAAACACUGUAAAUGAAACUAUUAAUAAUUAACAUAAAACAUUUUUAAACUCUAAAUUUUACAUUUUAAAACUUCAUAUUACUUGAAAAAUAUUACAGAAUAAUAACAAAUAUUGUUAACAAAAUAUAUUUCAACUAAAUCAUAAAAUAAUUUAUAUAAAAUAGAACUCAAAAACAUCAUAGUUUUAGAUAUACAUGUUUUUAAGUCGGGCACAAAUCGGUUCUUAUCGGGUCGGGUCUAUUCGGAUCGGUUUUUUUGGGUCCGGAUCUAUCCGGGUCGGUUCUUUUCGUUCUGGUUCUUUCGGGUCAAAAAAUCUAGACCCAAAAAAUACUUGUAAAUUUUCGGUCUCAUUCUGGAUCGGGUAUUUUUCGGUUGGUUCCGUUCGGGUUAAAAUGUGCAGACCUAAUUGCUACUUUUAUCGGCGUCUUCUCUCUCACACAAUAUCACUGUAAGUAGCCGUUCAAAUCUUCCAAUUUAGCUACAAUAUAAUUCACAUUUAUUUUUAACUUUUUGAAUCCCCCAGUAUAUUUAAGAUCUGAAAAAGACAUAAUAUACCUAAUUCCAUCAAAUUUAGUUGAUAUUUGUCAUAUAUAUCUAAAAUUUUACAAAAUAACUUAAAUGAAACUAUUUAUAAGUAAAAUAAAAUAUUUUCAAACUCUAAAUUUAACAUUUUAAAGCUUCAUAUUACUUAAAACAUAUUACAAAAUAAUAACAAAUAUUGUUAACAAAAGAUAUUUCAACUAAAUCAUAAAACAAUAUAUAUAUAAUAGAACACAAAAACAUCAAAGUUUUAGAUAUACAUGUUUUUAAUUCGGGUACAAAUCGGUUCUUAUCGGAACUGGUCUAUUCGGGUCGUUUCUUAUUGGGUUAGAGUCGUGUUCGAGUAUUUAAGAUCUGAAAAGGACAUAACAUACCUAAUUCCAUCAAAAUUAGACAUAACAUACCUAAUUGGGAAAUUGCCAAAAAUACCAUUUUCAAAGUACCACUUUUCAUGUUUACACUAACCAUUUUUUACCCUCAUCUUUGAUGAAGGAUAAAAGACAUUUAUAACCUUUUGAUUAACUUUGACAAAAAAAACAUAUAGUUAACUAAUCUAAACUUCAAACAUCAAUUUUAAACCCUAAAUCAUCAACUCUAAACCCUAAACCAUGAAACAUCAACUCUAAACCCUAAACCCUAAACCCUAAACCUUCAAAUCUAAAAACUAAAACAUCAACUCUAAACCCUAAACGUAAACCCUAAACCCUAAAUCUAAACUUAAAACAUCAACUUUAAGCCCUAAAUCAUCAACUCUAAACCCUAAACCGCGAAACAUCUAACUCUAAACCCUAAACCGCGAAACAUCAACUCUAAACCCUAAACCCUAAACCCUAAACCCUAAACCCUAAACCCUAAACCCUAAAACAUCAACUCUAAACCCUAAACAUAAACCCUAAACCUUAAACCCUAUAUUUUCUGAAAUUCGAACCCUAAACCCUAAAACAUCAACUCUACGGUUUUAUGGUUUAGAGAUUAGGGUUUAGGGUUUAGAGUUGAUGUUUUAGGGUUUAGGGUUAAUUUCUUAGGGUUUAGGGUUUAGAGUUUAGUUUUUAGGGUUUAGGAUUUAGUGUUGAUAGUUUAGGGUUUAGUGUUGAAGUUUAGGGUUUAGGGUUUAGAGUUGAUGUUUUAGGGUUUAGAGUUGAAGGUUUAGGGUUUAGGGUUCGUAUUUAAAAAAAUAGGGUUUAGGAUUGAUGGUUUAGGGUUUAGAGUUGAGUUUUAGGGUUUAGGGUUUGAAUUUAGAAAUAGUAUAAUUCGAAAAAAAAUUAAAAAAAAUAUUUUUUAUUUUUUUAGAUUUUUUAUUUAUUUAAAUAUUUAUUUAUUAGAUUUGCGAAUUACCACUACUGUUCUGAAUUACACCUUCUGCCGUCGCUACCACCGUAGACGCUGCCAAAAUUGAAAUCGGAGCUGUGGUGUGUUGCUGUUGCGGUGACGACGGUGGAGUUGCAAGGGAAGGUUCCACUGGUUUAGGAGAUUGGAGAGGUUUCGGUGACAAAAGACGAUGAAGGGAUAGUGAUAACUGAUAAGCUUUGCUUUUUCUGUCAAUUUCUCCAUUUUUGUCACUAAACCGAGCUUAUCAGAUAGCUUCCGACAACGUGUGUUUGUUUGGUUCGUCGAUUUCCGCUCAUGAAUCGAAAAUUUCCCAGACUGUGAUUGGCUGUCCUGUUUUGUUACCUUGUCUUUUUCAGAAAUAAAUUUUACUGUGGAAUUUCUACUUUUUGUGAACAAAACUGUACAUAUGUAUGCUGCUUGUAACUGAAGAAAGAGGG